RNAcentral lists this ribosomal RNA (495 nucleotides) under uncultured bacterium. RNAcentral describes it as "partial 16S ribosomal RNA". It matches the Rfam family "Bacterial small subunit ribosomal RNA", at positions 28 to 523 of the family's 1533-position model. The record is from RNAcentral.
GAUGAACGCUAGCGGGAGGCCUAACACAUGCAAGCCGAGCGGUAUUUCUCCUUCGGGAGAGAGAGAGCGGCGUACGAGUGCGGAACACGUGUGCAACCUGCCUUUAUCUAGAGGAUAGCCUUUCGAAAGGAAGAUUAAUACUCUAUAAUAUAUUAAUUGGCAUCAAUUGAUAUUGAAAACUCCGGUGGAUAGAGAUGGGCACGCGCAAGAUUAGCUAGUUGGUGAGGUAACGGCUCACCAGGGCAAUGAUCUUUAGGGGGCCUGAGAGGGUGAUCCCCCACACUGGUACUGAGACACGGACCAGACUCCUACGGGAGGCAGCAGUGAGGAAUAUUGGUCAAUGGGUGCAAGCCUGAACCAGCCAUCCCGCGUGAAGGAUUUAGGUCCUAUGGAUUGUAAACUUCUUUUGUAUAGGGAUAAACCUACCCUCGUGAGGGUAGCUGAAGGUACUAUACGAAUAAGCACCGGCUAACUCCGUGCCAGCAGCCGCCGUAA